This 279-nucleotide ribosomal RNA is filed under the name uncultured bacterium. RNAcentral's name for it is "partial 16S ribosomal RNA". It matches the Rfam family "Bacterial small subunit ribosomal RNA", at positions 506 to 784 of the family's 1533-position model. The record is from RNAcentral.
UGCCAGCAGCCGCGGUAAUACGGAGGGUGCAAGCGUUAAUCGGAAUUACUGGGCGUAAAGCGCAUGCAGGCGGUCCAAUCAGUCAGGUGUGAAAGCCCUCGGCUCAACCGGGGAACUGCACUUGAUACUGUUGGACUCGAGAGUGGAAGGGGUGAGCGGAACUCCAGGUGGAGCGGUGAAAUGCGUAGAUAUCUGGAGGAACACCGGUGGCGAAAGCGGCUCACUGGCCCACUUCUGACGCUGAGGUGCGAAAGCUAGGGUAGCGAACGGGAUUAGAUA